GAGGGGGUGACUAGUGACAGAGUGAGGGAGCGGGUGACACAGUGACAGAGUGAGGGAGGGAGUGACUAGUGACAGAGAGACCCCCUUCCUCACUCUGUCACUAGUCACUCCCUCCCUCUGUCACUAGUCACUCCCUCACUCUGUCACUAGUCACUCCCUCACUCUGUCACUAGUCACCUCUUCCCUCCAUCACUUUGCCACUAGUCAUCUCUUCCCUC
Molecule: non-coding RNA, 218 nt
Organism: Pelobates cultripes (western spadefoot toad)
Lineage: Eukaryota; Metazoa; Chordata; Amphibia; Anura; Pelobatidae
Source: the annotation of a GenBank genome assembly